AGCGUGCCCUUAUAGGGCGUGCUGCUCGAGCCGAUACCGGUCGUUGCCGAAUAGCUGUAAGUGCCGGACGUCAGUUGCGACAGGAUGAAAUCGGAACGCGUGGUGUCGCCAGCCGGUGUCGCGGGACUCGUGCUGUAGACGAUCAGGCGCGACGAAUCCGCCAGCAAUCCGGAAUUGACGGUGAUGCGUCCCGCGAGGCCCGUUUGCUG
RNAcentral lists this unclassified non-coding RNA (209 nucleotides) under Hevea brasiliensis (rubber tree). Lineage: Eukaryota; Viridiplantae; Streptophyta; Magnoliopsida; Malpighiales; Euphorbiaceae. The record is from RNAcentral.